UGGCGGCCUGGUUACCCUGGCGAUGGGCUGCUGGGUGCGGAGGCUUGCAGCUCGCCGGUUUUGCCCGCAGAUGCCUUAGUUUCGGGUGCUGCCCUGGACUGGGGUCGUGAGUCCCCUCUUACCAUGUCUGGCUGGCGGCGACCCAGAUGCCACGUGAUGGUCAUUUGAAGACAGGCCUGUCGGAUAUCAGGAAUCCCAAGGUCCAGAUGCCUGCCUUCAGGGACCUGGGCUUUCGGCUCUCAUACCUGGCCCUGGUUGAUGGCCCCGUGCUGAGCAGUGCAUGUGAAGACACACAUGGUAAGGAAAUGGCAGAGUUGCUUCUGGGACUGGAAGGAGACAGGGAAACCUGCCAGAGAGGAACAGGAUUUAGGGGCUCCAGUGCGAGAGGAGAGAAAUGCAGCAUAUGUGCGGCCGUCAUGCGGUGCUGCUGUC
This is a long non-coding RNA of Lontra canadensis (Northern American river otter), 432 nucleotides long. RefSeq lists it as uncharacterized. The record is from RefSeq and is a predicted model, not a curated record. Lineage: Eukaryota; Metazoa; Chordata; Mammalia; Carnivora; Mustelidae. The transcript has 4 exons.